CAAUAAGCGGAGGAAAAGAAACCAACAGGGAUUUCCUUAGUAACGGCGAGCGAAAAGGGAUGCGCCCAGCAUGUGAAUCUCCAGCCUUAGGCUGGCGAAUUGUAGUCUGGAGUAGCGGCUCUUGGAAACCGGCGCGCCAAAGCAUCUUGGAAUAGAUCGCCGCAGAGGGUGAGAGCCCCGUAGGCGCGGCGGGAUCCUUUACGGAGCGCUCACGCAGAGUCGGGUUGUUUGGGAAUGCAGCCCCAAUUGGGUGGUAAACCCCAUCUAAGGCUAAAUACCUGUGGGAGACCGAUAGCAAAAAAGUACCUCGAGGGAACGAUGAAAAGACCGCUGGCAAGCGAGUGAAAGAGUGCAUGAAAUUGUACAGUGGGAAGGGAUGGGCUUGCGUGCUGCCCCCGGGUAUACACCGCUCGCGGAGCUCUUGAAUACACCGGGGGCUGGCUGGUGCCGACACCCGGGCUCGCAAACCCCCAAGCUUUGGUGUUUGGCUGUUCGAGCGCGGGUGUUGAGGUUGAUCGUGGCUCCGUUCUUCGGAAACUGCCUCGACGUACCACCANCUGNANCAUGUCC
RNAcentral lists this ribosomal RNA (570 nucleotides) under Lychaete pellucidoidea. RNAcentral's name for it is "eukaryotic LSU rRNA". It matches the Rfam family "Eukaryotic large subunit ribosomal RNA", at positions 44 to 642 of the family's 3401-position model. The record is from RNAcentral. Lineage: Eukaryota; Viridiplantae; Chlorophyta; Ulvophyceae; Cladophorales; Cladophoraceae.